CGCGAGUGGCCGGAGUUCCGCCGCAGUCCGCCGCAGCGCGGCCGGGAGGGGAGACAAGCGAGUUGCAUCCGCAACGCCCGCAGUGUUUUGCGUCAAGCUUCUCCAGUCUUCCCUUCAUUCACCAGAACAUUUAUCAAGCAUCAACUGUGGGAGAAGGUCGAUGAGAAGCAACAUCAGAAGUGGCUUUGUCCUGAGCACAGCCGGUACUGGACAAGACAGCACAUAGUGG
Molecule: long non-coding RNA, 229 nt
Organism: Hipposideros armiger (great roundleaf bat)
Lineage: Eukaryota; Metazoa; Chordata; Mammalia; Chiroptera; Hipposideridae
Exons: 3
Source: RefSeq, a predicted model, not a curated record